AGUGAACGCUGGCGGUAGGCCUAACACAUGCAAGUCGAACGGCAGCACAGUAAGAGCUUGCUCUUACGGGUGGCGAGUGGCGGACGGGUGAGGAAUACAUCGGAAUCUACUUUUUCGUGGGGGAUAACGUAGGGAAACUUACGCUAAUACCGCAUACGACCUACGGGUGAAAGCAGGGGAUCUUCGGACCUUGCGCGAUUGAAUGAGCCGAUGUCGGAUUAGCUAGUUGGCGGGGUAAAGGCCCACCAAGGCGACGAUCCGUAGCUGGUCUGAGAGGAUGAUCAGCCACACUGGAACUGAGACACGGUCCAGACUCCUACGGGAGGCAGCAGUGGGGAAUAUUGGACAAUGGGCGCAAGCCUGAUCCAGCCAUACCGCGUGGGUGGAGAAGGCCUUCGGGUUGUAAAGCCCUUUUGUUGGGAAAGAAAAGCAGCAGGUUAAUACCCCGCUGUUCCGACGGUACCCAAAGAAUAAGCACCGGCUAACUUCGUG
RNAcentral lists this ribosomal RNA (492 nucleotides) under uncultured bacterium. Its description in RNAcentral is "partial 16S ribosomal RNA". It matches the Rfam family "Bacterial small subunit ribosomal RNA", at positions 29 to 507 of the family's 1533-position model. The record is from RNAcentral.